Long non-coding RNA from Megalobrama amblycephala (Wuchang bream), 1883 nucleotides. RefSeq lists it as uncharacterized. NCBI's taxonomy places the organism in Eukaryota, Metazoa, Chordata, Actinopteri, Cypriniformes, Xenocyprididae. The transcript is spliced from 2 exons. The record is from RefSeq and is a predicted model, not a curated record.
GAUUUCUUCAGUAAUUUCACAAUCAUAAAACUCGAAAUAUUCUCAAACUUAAACUGCAUGGCAAAACCAGCAGCUUUCAUAUAACCUAUGUCCCGUAAAGUGUAAAACAUAUAAUUUUCUAAUAGUUCACACGCAUUAUUUUACAGACUGGCGAUCAAAAGUUUGAAAUAAGACUUCUUUAAUGUUUUUGAGGCGGAGAAGUAGGAGGAGGAAGAUAAGUAUUCUCUUGAGAAGGAAUGCAAUGAAGCAUUUUGCCUUUAACAAAUACCCAAACGCCCCUUUCUCCUAGCAUUUUUGUGCGCACAAUGUCCAUCUGUCGUGCUCGCUUGCUCUCAAUAGGCUACUGAGAAUCAUAAGUUAGGAAAGUCUGUCCUUCUCGGGCAGGUUUUUAUUAGUUUCGGUUUAGGAAAAAGGGCUCCACUUAAUAUUAAGUGGCCUUAAUACUAUGUACUUACAUCAAAAAGUAAGUACAAUGUACUUAUUGGGUUCAUAUUGAAUUGAAAAUCACUUUUGCUGCUAUUGAGGUGGGAUGUGGGUAAGGUUAGGUACAGGUUUGGUGGUAUGGGUUUAAGGGUAGGGGUAAGGUGUAAGGGAUGGGUCAACAGUGUUGGUUGGGUUGGUUAAAAAAAGCUUUAGAUCACUCCACAAGCACGCAGCUUAUAGUUGCAUGAGUUCCACUUGGACGUAAAAAGCAAAAUUGUCUUGCUAUUGGAUCCAAACCUUUGAAACGUUGUUUGAGCUGGACCUACUCUGAACCUGUUUAGUCAUAGGAGAGUCACGUCAUAAAAAAGCUUUAGUUAUUUAUUUGUUAGUUAUUUGCGGCUUCCCAUUUCAUUUAGCGAUAUAAAGUUUGGAGUUUUGUUUUUGAAUUUCAUCUCUAUUUAUUUGCUGCUAGCCAACGCAUUUAUCAGAUCCAAAAGCAUUGUUGAGAGGAGUUAUGGAAAAGCACAGACGAAUGAUAUCAUCAAUCGUUGUCGUUAUCAUGAUAGAAACUCGAGAUCAUGUUUGCAAAAAGCUGAUCAAGAACAUAAGGAGGUUGAGUAAAUAAUAAGAUAAUUCUCAUUGUGUAAUGAUAAUAAUAACAAUUUUUAUUUUGUAGUCAGAAAAACUUUUCAAACCGGCUAACUGAUAAACUAUUAUUUUCAAACAAAUGAAUAAGUCUUCAAUUUGUUACAUAGGAGUUCAAAGCGGUUUGUAUCGUUAAUACUUCUCCUUUCACAUUUAGCAGGGAGUGGAGCAGCGUUUUCACAAGCAAAAUUCUGCUGCUGACCCAGAGGAUGGAGUGGAAGUACCAGAUAUCCAUCAGAGAAGAAUUUAUUUCGUUCAGACAUAUCACCUUUGAAUGACUGGGAUCUUGAUCUUCAGACACCUAAUAUUAUGCAAAUAUUUUACUUUCUUUAGCGCUCUAGAUUAAAACAAACACAGCUCAGAAAUAAAUAAGAUGUUGUACUUUACUCCUAUUACUCGAUGCUGAUCUUGGAUAAACAAGAAUUAAGAUAACCCAUCUCUGAGUCCAUGUAAUGCAAAUGAAUAUGUAUUUUAAAAAGGUUACACUUUAAAAACCACACACAGUGACUGUGACAGUUAUCUAUACAACCCCAGUGAAGUAAAACAAUAGGUAACUAUUUACCAUCGCUUCUGACUAACUGCAUGCUACAAUCUACUUGAAUAUGGACUCACAGAGAUUGAUUAUUUUCUUAAAAAGCAGUGUUUAUAUGAAGAAAGUAAUAUAGUACAUCUUGGAUGGCAUGAAAGACUAUUAACAAAGACAUAUAUUGCACUCCCCUACCACAUAUUGUACCCACUGUCACUGUUUUAUUUUUACUGUGACAGUAACUGUUUAAAUGAUCUCUGCAUCAUUAAAAUAAAACAUUUUACACAUA